RNAcentral lists this ribosomal RNA (477 nucleotides) under Candidatus Scalindua brodae. Its description in RNAcentral is "bacterial SSU rRNA". It matches the Rfam family "Bacterial small subunit ribosomal RNA", at positions 365 to 832 of the family's 1533-position model. Lineage: Bacteria; Pseudomonadati; Planctomycetota; Candidatus Brocadiia; Candidatus Brocadiales; Candidatus Scalinduaceae. The record is from RNAcentral.
UUCGCAAUGCCCGAAAGGGUGACGAAGCGACGCCGCGUGGGUGAGGAAGGCCCUCGGGUUGUAAAGCCCUGUCAGGAGUUAAGAAAUGUAAGUGCGCUAAUAUCGCAUUUAUUUGACGAAGGCUCCAAAGGAAGCCACGGCUAACUCUGUGCCAGCAGCCGCGGUAAUACAGAGGUGGCAAGCGUUGUUCGGAAUUAUUGGGCGUAAAGAGCACGUAGGUGGAUUUGUAAGUCAGACGUGAAAGCCUUCUGUUCAACGGAAGAAUUGCAUCUGAAACUACAAACCUUGAGUGUAGGAGGGGAGAAUGGAACUUCUGGUGGAGCGGUGAAAUGCGUAGAUAUCAGAAGGAACGCCGGCGGCGAAAGCGAUUCUCUGGCCUAUUACUGACACUCAGUGUGCGAAAGCUAGGGGAGCAAACGGGAUUAGAUACCCCGGUAGUCCUGGCCGUAAACGAUGGGCACUAAGUAGAGGGGUUUU